GGGAGAGACCAUGAAUGGCGGCCCCCAGAAGAGAUGUAAGGUUGAGCACAGGAGCAGGGGUGGUAGAGAGGCCUCAGCACUGGGCUUAGUUCCCAGACUACUUAGAGGACUGUGGGUAAUAAGAAAAGUACUGGAGGAAUCAGAAUGGGGGAAUAUCAGCAUGAGGAGAGAGAGAGUAAGAUGUGGCCAGGCAGUAUCAUCUGCUAGUUUGAGGGUCUCUCUGGGGCCUGUGAAAGGUGACUGUGUACUUGAGGUGAUGCUCCACCUUCUCUCCUCAGCCCAGCACUCUGGUGAAACUGCAUCCUCUCAGAGGCCACUCACAGCCCCCUCAACAAAGACCACUGGCCCUUCCCAAGCCCAGUCCUCCUUGACCUGUAUGGAAAAUGUUAUGCCAUUUUCUCAGUCUUUUCCUUUGGCCUUCUGUUCUUCUGUUACAUCCAUGAUCAUCUGUUCUUGGUUCCAUUCAUUCAGUCCUCCGGAUGGACCAGUUCCUUAACUAGAAGUGGUCCCCAGGUUCUGCUGGUAGCUUGUUUUCUCUUCCUUCUCACUCUUCUCACUCCACUUUUAUCACUUUAACCAUCACCUGAAGUUAUAAAUUCUCCUGUGUUUCAUUUUUCUUUUCUUUUCUCUUCUCUUUCUUUCUCUCUCUCUCUCUUUCUUCUUUCUUUUUUUUUUUUUUUUUUUUUUGAGAGUCUUGCUCUCUCACCCAGGCUGGAGUUGCAGUGAGCUGAAAUCAGGCCAAUGCCCUCCAGUCUGGGCAGCAGAGCAAGACUCUGUCUCAAAAAAAAAAAAAAGAAAGAAAGAAAAAGAAAAAAGAAAGGUUCAGUGGUCAGGGCUGUGUGACACAGGGGGCUACAGCAAAGCAGCAAAGAAGGGGCACAGUCCUGGAACCCUCCUGAGGGAGGGAGUUGGGGGUGAGGUAGUAGCCAGGGCCAAGGCUCCGAGGGAAUUCUUCCUCAAGAAAGCGGAUGAGAGGCUGGAGAGGCAGUUGGGAAGAUGGUGAGGCUGCUGCUGGCUGCUGGGCGGAAUGUAAGUGGGGGUGCCCACCACCGCCCAUCCCCCAGGCCCGGCUUGUGCACAAAGACUUCUCUGUGAGUGGCCAUGGAAGUGGCCCUGUCAGGUGAGGGGGCUUAGCUCCCAGGGAGUGGGGUGGAAUGGGGCUGGAGGAAGGGAGGGCUGAGAGGUGGCCUCAGGCUUUAACCAGGUCUGGGCAGGAAGGAGAGAGAAGCUGAAACCAGGCCGGGGUCUCACAGUGAGGCCGUUCAUGGUCUGGUCCAGCUGUCCCCAGGAUGGGCUCCUCUCCAUCAUCCAACCAGAGACCCAGGGCCCCAGCACCAAGGCCCUCACCUGCCCCUGCCUUCUCCCCAUGUCUUCCCAGCUAUAACUCCUGAUCCUGCCAGGCCUCUCCAGCCUUCCAUCCCCUGCUCAUACAUGCUGUCUCCUGACACUCUUGGAACUGACCCUGCUCUUGGGACUGACCCUGCUUGAGCUUCUCUCAUCUUCCCAGCAUGGGGUCUCCUUCCAUCUCCUGCACAGUGCUCCUGCUCCAGGGAGGGCUGUGUUGAGAGGGUAGAGACACAAGAUUGACCAGAACUAAAAAGGAGUCCCAAGGCCACCCCAGUCUCCACACCCACUCUUGCCUUCCCCAGGAGAGGCUCCUCUCCUGGCCUGGCCUCAGUGUCACUUACUGCUAAUCAUCGAUGUGUAGAGACCUUUCUCCCAUCUCCCCACCACCAAGCCCUUGUUGAGCACACUGCACACUGGCUUUUUAUUUUUAUUUUCUGGGUGACAGAGUGAGAUUCCAUCUCAAAAAAAAGAAGUAUUUUUCUUUACGCUUGACAAUUUUUCUUUUCAGACCAAAAAGAAGAAUGUACUUCAUCUGGUUGGGCUGGAUUCCCUCUGAUAAGCCUUCCCAGUUGACUGAAAGAUGAGGCUAGGCUCUAGCAAGUUGAAGUCAAACCAGCUCCUUCAAGAAGCUUUGAGCAGAAUGAAGUGGGGAGGACCCAGCUUCCAGCCCAGGAAGCCCACUGUACCUGGAGCCAUCUGGGAUAAGACUUUGACCCAUGACUCCCAUAUCCACAGCCUGUCCAUCCUAGCCCAUCCCAGUUUAUCCUGUAUCAUUUGAGCUGGGAUUCCCACAUCCUCUGAGUUGGAAGUCCCAUCUCAAGUCUUCAAUAAAGACUCUUGAAUAUUGAAUCA
This 2199-nucleotide long non-coding RNA is filed under the name Homo sapiens (human). RNAcentral's name for it is "non-protein coding lnc-C1orf61-2:27". Lineage: Eukaryota; Metazoa; Chordata; Mammalia; Primates; Hominidae. The record is from RNAcentral.